This 455-nucleotide small RNA is filed under the name Drosophila virilis. Its description in RNAcentral is "GJ26235". The record is from RNAcentral. Lineage: Eukaryota; Metazoa; Arthropoda; Insecta; Diptera; Drosophilidae.
UGCUUUUUCAACUGAAGAAUAUUUUAAAAUACCUUGUUCUGCUUUGGUUAUAUACUCCCUCCUACUAAUUUUGACUCGUACUACACUAAUUCUGAUGCGGAAUAUUAAGGCUGUAAGGUUUCAAAGGCCAAAUCUAUAUAUAUCGAUAUUACGAUAAUGGAACGGAAUGGAUAUGGGGAACAUAAUAAGGUGCAGGGUGUAGCUCUCAUACAUCAUAAUCAUCAAUUCAACAUAGCUGGUCAUAUGGCUUUCGUACAGGACAAAUCUGCCAAACCCAGGGACAACAUAUAAUCAGAAAAUGAUUGAUACUCAUGGUACCUAGUUGACCUAUAUAUCCUUGGUUAUUCCAUAUCAUGGAUUUAGUCCUAGCGAACCUAAAGGACCCAGUUCUCGCAAAAUGCGCGAGAACAGGGUCCAAAAAUAUGUAUGCUUUUGUUUUACAGCCCACAGCAGCA